This 483-nucleotide ribosomal RNA is filed under the name Triticum aestivum (bread wheat). RNAcentral's name for it is "partial small subunit ribosomal RNA". The record is from RNAcentral. Lineage: Eukaryota; Viridiplantae; Streptophyta; Magnoliopsida; Poales; Poaceae.
AUGGCCACGGCGCACUACUACCCGCCGCCGCCGCCGCCGAUCGCCCACCCGCUUCCAAGGCCGCACGCCGCCGACAACGCCGUCCCCGACGACGGCGGCAGCGACAGCGAGAGCGUGGCGGAGUCGUCGUGCCCGCACCAGCACCCGCGCCGGCCGACGGCCAGGGACGAGGAGGAGGAGGAGGACGGGUGCAGCGGCAGCUGCGUGGAGGCGGACGAGUACUGGGGCUACUACUACCAGCAGCAGCAGCAUCCGCAGGAAGCCGACGACGAGGAGGAGGUCAGCACGGCGAGCGUCUGGUGGAAGAAGAAACGGGCAGCGGCGGCGGCUGGUAGGGCCGGCGGCGUGUUCCCUUCGUCUUCGUCGGCUGCGGCCCGUCGUGAGGGGGAGGAGAAGAAGGCGGAGGACCCGAAGCGGGCGGCGGCGCGGCAGGAGGAGGACCGCAAGUUCUGGGCGGACUGCCUCGCCACCGGGUACCCAUGA